UGCAGUCGAGGAUCAUUCGCAAUGGGCGCAAGCCUGACGAUGCGACGCUGCGUGGAGGAAGAAGGGCCUCGGCCCGUAAACUCCUGUCAUGGGGGAAAAAGGUCCCCAUGGUGAACAAUCAUGGGGCUUGAUGGUACUCCAAGAGGAAGCCACGGCUAACUCUGUGCCAGCAGCCGCGGUAAU
RNAcentral lists this ribosomal RNA (183 nucleotides) under uncultured rumen bacterium. Its description in RNAcentral is "partial 16S ribosomal RNA". It matches the Rfam family "Bacterial small subunit ribosomal RNA", at positions 350 to 524 of the family's 1533-position model. The record is from RNAcentral.